This is a long non-coding RNA of Bufo gargarizans (Asiatic toad), 692 nucleotides long. RefSeq lists it as uncharacterized. The record is from RefSeq and is a predicted model, not a curated record. The transcript is spliced from 3 exons. Lineage: Eukaryota; Metazoa; Chordata; Amphibia; Anura; Bufonidae.
CCCGACUUCUGGAGGGAGCGACAAUAACAGCGAUUAUGUCUCUGGAGCGGAACAGUUCUGUAAUAGCAGACAGCAAGGGACAGUGGGAUCAGCAGGACAUGUCGGAACGUCACCUGGACGAGCCAUCGGCUGGUUCACUUUGAAAUUAUUGGGCGACCACCAAGUUCCCUUAUCACCAAGGCAACCAUAUGCCACCAAAAGCUCUUCUGUAAGGCUGCAAUGUGACUCCAGAGGACAGAGGACUCUCACAUGCCUCCAUCUUUUAUUAGGAUGCCCCGACUGCUGGAGGGAGCGACAAUAACAGCGAUUAUGUCUCUGGAGCGGAACAGUUCUGUAAUAGCAGACAGCAAGGGACAGUGGGAUCAGCAGGACAUGUCGGAACGUCACCUGGACGAGCCAUCGGCUGGUCGUUCAGCGGGGACAAAGCCAAACACAACAGGGAGACAAUUAGGAACAAGUGGGUCAGGUAAGAGGAAUCCAUGAGAAGCAAUAAAGCCGACUGAAGGAUGGCGGAGCGGAGACUGCGCCGCAAACACAACAGUAAUAGCAAAGCAACCUGCACACAAGUCGUGCACACCACACAGUGAUCCCAAUCCGGAUACAUCCGGGAAUGUUCCGUAAAACGGAGAAAAGUCCAUGCAGUCGCCUGACCUGCUGAAUAUUGUCAUUGUCCGCCAUUACACUGCAGCGGA